RNAcentral lists this ribosomal RNA (253 nucleotides) under uncultured bacterium. RNAcentral's name for it is "partial 16S ribosomal RNA". It matches the Rfam family "Bacterial small subunit ribosomal RNA", at positions 524 to 776 of the family's 1533-position model. The record is from RNAcentral.
UACGUAGGUGGCAAGCGAUACUCGGAAUCACUAGGCGUAAAGCGCAGGUAGGAGGUUUAGUAAGUCUGUUGUGAAAGCUCCCGGCUUAACUGGGAGAGGUCAACGGAAACUGCUAGGCUAGAGUGCGGUAGAGGUAGCUGGAAUUCCCGGUGUAGCGGUGAAAUGCGUAGAUAUCGGGAGGAAUACCUAUGGCGAAAGCAGGCUACUGGACCGUCACUGACUCUGAUCUGCGAAAGCUAGGGGAGCAAACAGG